UGAGGAAUAUUGGUCAAUGGGCGAGAGCCUGAACCAGCCAAGUCGCGUGAAGGAUGACUGUCUUAUGGAUUGUAAACUUCUUUUAUACGGGAAUAACAAGAGUCACGUGUGACUCCCUGCAUGUACCGUAUGAAUAAGCAUCGGCUAACUCCGUGCCAGCAGCCGCGGUAAUACGGAGGAUGCGAGCGUUAUCCGGAUUUAUUGGGUUUAAAGGGUGCGUAGGCGGCCUGUUAAGUCAGCGGUGAAAUCUAGGAGCUUAACUCCUAAAUUGCCAUUGAUACUGGCGGGCCUGAGUGUAGAUGAGGUAGGCGGAAUGCGUGGUGUAGCGGUGGAAUGCAUAGAUAUCACGCAGAACUCCGAUUGCGAAGGCAGCUUACUAAGGUACAACUGACGCUGAAGCACGAAAGCGUGGGUAUCAAACAGGAUUAGAUACCCUGGUAGUCCACGCAGUAAACGAUGAUAACUGGGCGUAUGCGAUAUACAGUAUGCUCCUAAGCGAAAGCGUUAAGUUAUCCACCUGGGGAGUACGCCGGCACGGUG
This 540-nucleotide ribosomal RNA is filed under the name uncultured bacterium. RNAcentral's name for it is "bacterial SSU rRNA". It matches the Rfam family "Bacterial small subunit ribosomal RNA", at positions 355 to 896 of the family's 1533-position model. The record is from RNAcentral.